GGGCCCGUAGCUCAGCAUGGUAGAGCAGCGGGCUUUUAUCUCGGGGAGUGGUCGCGGGUUCAAAUCCCGCCGGGCCCG
Molecule: transfer RNA, 78 nt
Filed under: Candidatus Bathyarchaeota archaeon
Lineage: Archaea; Thermoproteati; Candidatus Bathyarchaeota
Description: tRNA-Lys
Rfam family: tRNA
About the family: Transfer RNA (tRNA) molecules are approximately 80 nucleotides in length. Their secondary structure includes four short double-helical elements and three loops (D, anti-codon, and T loops).
Source: RNAcentral